CGAAAGCCUGACGGAGCAAUACCGCGUGAGGGAGGAAGGCCUUUGGGUUGUAAACCUCUUUUCUCAGGGAAGAAGAUCUGACGGUACCUGAGGAAUAAGCAUCGGCUAACUCCGUGCCAGCAGCCGCGGUAAUACGGAGGAUGCAAGCGUUAUCCGGAAUUAUUGGGCGUAAAGCGUCCGCAGGUGGUUUUUCAAGUCUGCUGUCAAAGACCGAAGCUCAACUUCGGAAAGGCAGUGGAAACUGGAAAACUAGAGUUCGGUAGGGGUAGCGGGAAUUCCCAGUGUAGCGGUGAAAUGCGUAGAUAUUGGGAAGAACAUCGGUGGCGAAGGCGCGCUACUGGACCGAAACUGACACUCAGGGACGAAAGCUAGGGGAGCGAAAGGGAUUAGAUACCCCUGUAGUCCUAGCUGUAAACG
Molecule: ribosomal RNA, 417 nt
Filed under: Crocosphaera sp. 2 str. Miami BG 043511
Lineage: Bacteria; Bacillati; Cyanobacteriota; Cyanophyceae; Chroococcales; Aphanothecaceae
Description: bacterial SSU rRNA
Rfam family: Bacterial small subunit ribosomal RNA
Source: RNAcentral